AAGUCAUAACAAGGUAUCUGUAGGUGAACCUGCAGAUGGAUCAUUAGUGAAUAACAAGGGGUUCCCACUCUGUGGGCCCCAACCCUAUCACCAUAUCCACACACCUGUGCACCGCUAGUGAUGACCGAUGUGCAAGCAUCUUGUCAUUGCCGGCACCCCUUUUACACACACACACGCAAAGUAAAUGAAUGUCACUGUAACUACGCAAGUAGAAACAAAAUACAACUUUUGACAACGGAUCUCUUGGUUCUCC
This 253-nucleotide unclassified non-coding RNA is filed under the name Entyloma polysporum. RNAcentral's name for it is "partial internal transcribed spacer region". The stretch from base 1 to 46 matches the Rfam family "Eukaryotic small subunit ribosomal RNA", at positions 1786 to 1831 of the family's 1831-position model. Lineage: Eukaryota; Fungi; Basidiomycota; Exobasidiomycetes; Entylomatales; Entylomataceae. The record is from RNAcentral.